UACGUAGGGACCAAGCGUUGUUCGGAUUUACUGGGCGUAAAGGGCGCGUAGGCGGCGUGUUAAGUCAGCUGUGAAAUCUCCAAGCUUAACUUGGAACGGUCAGCUGAUACUGAUGUGCUAGAGUGCAGAAGGGGCAAUCGGAAUUCUUGGUGUAGCGGUGAAAUGCGUAGAUAUCAAGAGGAACACCUGAGGUGAAGGCGGCCCCCUGGUUGGAUACUGACGCUGAUACGCGAAAGCGUGGGGAGCAAACAGG
This 253-nucleotide ribosomal RNA is filed under the name uncultured bacterium. RNAcentral describes it as "partial 16S ribosomal RNA". It matches the Rfam family "Bacterial small subunit ribosomal RNA", at positions 524 to 776 of the family's 1533-position model. The record is from RNAcentral.